CAGUUAGGAAGAACUUGAAUCAAACUGGAGCUAACGGUUCACCUAACAGCAGGACUAUUUUGUAUU
Pipistrellus kuhlii (Kuhl's pipistrelle) is the source of this 66-nucleotide long non-coding RNA. RefSeq lists it as uncharacterized. The transcript is spliced from 3 exons. The record is from RefSeq and is a predicted model, not a curated record. Lineage: Eukaryota; Metazoa; Chordata; Mammalia; Chiroptera; Vespertilionidae.